UCAUGUGUGUGUGUGUGUGUGUGUGUGUGUGUGUGUGUGUGUGUGUGUGCAGGUGCUUAGCGGCGAGGACAAGCGUGUGAGGUACGACCGGGGAGAGGACCUGGACGAGGUGGGCAUGGGGGGAGGCGGCGGCGGGUUCGACCUGUUUGGUGGAGGCGGUGGGCAGCAGUACACGUUCCACCACGGGGGAGGGUUCCCCGGAGGCGGAUUCCCGGUGGCUUCCAGUUCAACUUCGGUUAAAAGCAGGCCAGGCUUCCCUGAUGAUGUCUUAGUUUCUUGUCAUUACUGCUUUAGGAGGGAGAGCUUAACGGCGACAUGUGUUAAUUAU
RNAcentral lists this long non-coding RNA (328 nucleotides) under Hordeum vulgare. Its description in RNAcentral is "long non-coding RNA (HVUL_LNC020595)". The record is from RNAcentral. Lineage: Eukaryota; Viridiplantae; Streptophyta; Magnoliopsida; Poales; Poaceae.